RNAcentral lists this ribosomal RNA (410 nucleotides) under uncultured bacterium. RNAcentral describes it as "partial 16S ribosomal RNA". The record is from RNAcentral.
UUGACAAGGCCCGGGAACGUAUUCACCGUAGCAUUCUGAUCUACGAUUACUAGCGAUUCCGACUUCACGGAGUCGAGUUGCAGACUCCGAUCCGGACUACGACGCACUUUAUGAGGUCCGCUUGCUCUCGCGAGGUCGCUUCUCUUUGUAUGCGCCAUUGUAGCACGUGUGUAGCCCUGGCCGUAAGGGCCAUGAUGACUUGACGUCAUCCCCACCUUCCUCCGGUUUAUCACCGGCAGUCUCCUUUGAGUUCCCGGCANUACCCGCUGGCAACAAAGGAUAAGGGUUGCGCUCGUUGCGGGACUUAACCCAACAUUUCACAACACGAGCUGACGACAGCCAUGCAGCACCUGUCUCAGAGUUCCCGAAGGCACCAAAGCAUCUCUGCUAAGUUCUNUGGAGGAGUCAAA